AACGCGAAGAACCUUACCAGGCCUUGACAUGCAGAGAACUUUCCAGAGAUGGAUUGGUGCCUUCGGGAACUCUGACACAGGUGCUGCAUGGCUGUCGUCAGCUCGUGUCGUGAGAUGUUGGGUUAAGUCCCGUAACGAGCGCAACCCUUGUCCUUAGUUACCAGCACGUUAUGGUGGGCACUCUAAGGAGACUGCCGGUGACAAACCGGAGGAAGGUGGGGAUGACGUCAAGUCCUCAUGGCCUUUAUGACCAGGGCUACACACGUACUACAAUGGCCGAUACAAAGGGCAGCGACACUGCGAGGUGAAGCCAAUCCCGUAAAAUCGGUCUCAGUCCGGAUCGCAGUCUGCAACUCGACUGCGUGAAGUCGGAAUCGCUAGUAAUCGUGAAUCAGAAUGUCACGGUGAAUACGUUCCCGGGCCUU
Molecule: ribosomal RNA, 425 nt
Filed under: uncultured Pseudomonas sp.
Lineage: Bacteria; Pseudomonadati; Pseudomonadota; Gammaproteobacteria; Pseudomonadales; Pseudomonadaceae
Description: bacterial SSU rRNA
Rfam family: Bacterial small subunit ribosomal RNA
Source: RNAcentral